Bacillus cereus H3081.97 is the source of this 195-nucleotide non-coding RNA. NCBI's taxonomy places the organism in Bacteria, Bacillati, Bacillota, Bacilli, Caryophanales, Bacillaceae. The record is from Rfam.
UACAACUGAUAUACCGAUGUCAGGAAUGAAAGCCGUCAUGUUGAGCUGAAACUGACAGUCUAAUACUCCUACAUGCAUUUAUCUUGAUAGAGAUACAUUGCGUUAUGUAUGAAACUAGGUGAAGUCGGCUGAAUCUAAUUCUAAAGCCACUCUUACAGAGAGGGUAUGGUUAGAGAUAGGCCGGGACGCUAUAAA